GUGAAAGAAACCCUCAAAAAAAUAAAAAAGAUACCGGCGACGGAGGCCAUGGAAGGCGGCCGUGGAUCUGCGCGGCGGUGCGGCGUGCGAGCGGUCGAUUGCGCACCGCGGGUGCCGCGUACGCAUUCCGCAUCCUGUCGUCCCGCUCGCUCGCCGGAGACAGCGCCGCCCGCCGAGUUUUUGUGCAGUGCAGCUACUCUGCUUGAAGUGCAGAGUUGUGCGACCUGCCGACCGGGUGUGCUGGUUUUGGGCGAUUAGUUUGCUCGGGUUGCAAUAUGAUUUGUGACUUCAAGCUGAAAAGGGCAGGUGAUUAAUUAUGCUGACUUCUGCACUUUUGUGAGGACAGAAAAACUCAACAGUCUAAAGAAUCAGCUCAGGGGACUCGAGGCAAGUCUGUCCACAUUUCAUGGAAGGGCUGAAGUCUCUUAUAAACUAUCUCUGCAGCCCAACUAAAGAAAGGAUCAGAAAGUAAGCUCACCGGCCAGUCAAUUUCGAGUGCCACUACAAUGAACGAUCAGCUCAGGAGCUUGGUCUUGGAUCAGACGGCUAGGGGAGAUGAGUUUGCAAGUGUCAUAUCACAUCAGCUUGAAGGAAAUUAGAAGUGCUUCAGUGGGGUUUAAAGACAAUAAGUCCAAAUAUCCCAGUCUUAAGGGUUGUUCUGAACUCCCAGGACGUGAAUUCAACAUGCCUUCAUACAUCUUCUUUUGAUGGCCGCCAUCGAAGCUGUUGAGGCUAAUAUUGACGCGAUGGGGAAAAGCUACCUAGACAAAGCUAUUAUGUGUUUUCUUAGUUUUAAAGUUGUUGCAGAAGAAGGUAAUGAGAGGUUCAGUGACAUGGUCCAUUAAGUUAGCUUCAUACCUUCAUGUGUGGCAUCUCCUCUUUUUUUAAAGGGGGUACCUUUGUCUUUAAUAAAAUUGACAUCAAAGUCCUGACAAUGGCUAUUCGUUUUGCAUAAAGAUCAUUAAAGAUGAGUACAGCUGUCUGUGAGUUGCAGUUUCUUAUCCGAGCAGUCUAAUAUUCAUAUUGUUUGAAAUUGUAGUCACUGAAGUUCUCGCUCUCCUUAAACAGUAAUUCAGUGUAUUCCAUUGCUUAAAGACACUGAAGAAUUGAUGAAGAAUUUGAACUGAACUAACGAUCUCUUCAAGUUUGUCAGAAUCAUGAGAACAAGAUUCCAAGAGGCUACCGUCAAAGGUAUUCCAUAUUUCCUUUGAAAAUUGUAUCAUGUCCAUUUCCUCCAGAAUGCCAGUUAAUGGAGAUUACCACUG
Molecule: long non-coding RNA, 1265 nt
Organism: Triticum aestivum (bread wheat)
Lineage: Eukaryota; Viridiplantae; Streptophyta; Magnoliopsida; Poales; Poaceae
Exons: 5
Source: RefSeq, a predicted model, not a curated record